GUAGGUGGCAAGCGUUGUCCGGAAUUAUUGGGCGUAAAGCGCGCGCAGGCGGUUCUUUAAGUCUGAUGUGAAAGCCCACGGCUCAACCGUGGAGGGUCAUUGGAAACUGGAGAACUUGAGUACAGAAGAGGAAAGCGGAAUUCCACGUGUAGCGGUGAAAUGCGUAGAGAUGUGGAGGAACACCAGUGGCGAAGGCGGCUUUCUGGUCUGUAACUGACGCUGAGGCGCGAAAGCGUGGGGAGCAAACAGGGAUUAGAUACCCUGGUAGUCCACGCCGUAAACGAUGAGUGCUAAGUGUUAGGGGGUUUCCGCCCCCCUUAGUGCUGCAGCUAACGCAUUAAGCACUCCGCCUGGGGAGCACGGCCGCAAGGCUG
Molecule: ribosomal RNA, 374 nt
Filed under: uncultured organism
Description: partial 16S ribosomal RNA
Rfam family: Bacterial small subunit ribosomal RNA
Source: RNAcentral